Molecule: non-coding RNA, 1440 nt
Organism: Tetranychus urticae (two-spotted spider mite)
Lineage: Eukaryota; Metazoa; Arthropoda; Arachnida; Trombidiformes; Tetranychidae
Source: RefSeq, a predicted model, not a curated record
UCUAUCGAGCAUGAGAAAAGGAAAAAGAUAAUUUGCUCGAUUUAUUUGGUGAAUGCCAAUAAGCAAACCAAUGCUAAAUCAAGUUUAAGAUAAAGAAAAAGUAAUUAAUUGGAAUCAAAAAUGAGACGAAAUAACCUGAAGAUUGGUUGCUUUAGAGGUUAACCAGGAUCAGUGAGCUUCAAGGUACUUGCAUAAUGGGUUGAACAUGAUGAUGAAAGGAAGGCUUUUCAUUGAGAAUGACAUUGAGGCCAGACUGGCAAAUCCGGAAAGUAAGAUCAUGAUGAUGGUUAUUAUGAUGGUUAUGAUGGAGAAGAUAAAUAAUCAGAAGAAGAAGGAGUAAGUAACUUUUUUUGUUUCUGUCUUUUAAUCCUUACAUGAUGCUUCCUGGUUGAAUAACUGGAAAAGAACGCCUUUUCUGCUUUCGCUAACUUUCUGAUCAACUUCGAGUUUCAAGAAUUAAUUAAACUUUUAUCAAGACCAAAAGAGAAAGUUAAGGUCAAACAUUCAAUUAUUAUAGUUUAAUAGUAUAAAUAAAAAUUUUAAUUUACGGUUAACAUUGAACAUACGAUCGCAAAAAUGGUUACUUUGAAUCAGCUGUUGCAUCAAAGGGUCAAAGAUGGAGUUCACCGUUUUUCGCUUGUAUCUCAUUUAUGUGGUGUUUUAGUGCUCAUUUUUUUCAAUUCACCAUCAAUUAAUUGUUUCAAGCUCGACGCUUGGAUGGUGUAAUCAACCAACAAGAACAAAAUUGGAGCAGUUAGUGUGCUGAUUGUUUUAAAAGAUCGUCAAUGGAUUUAUAAUUACUAGCCCCCAAGAGUCAAGAGACAAGUGGAUUAUGAGCGAGAACCAGAAGAAUCACUUUUCAAUAUGAUAAUUGAAUAGGACCAGAUGAUGUGGAAAGACCUGCCAUUUACUAUCAAUUUGAGGUCAUCUACCGAUCUAUGGACAAUAACUUCUCGCUUUGGUUUGCUGGUUUUGUUAAUUUGGUUCAUCGUCACCUGUUUAUUGCUGAUGUUUGUUUACUAAUUUCAAAGAAUGACAGUGUUCAGAGCAAACACAAUUCUUGGCCAAUUAUUAACUUCAAAUAUGCCCUGAAAUAUAAGAAAAUAUGAGGUCAUUCAAGAUCACAUCAUGUUAUAUUAAUAGUGCAAAUUUAAAGAUCAUAAUUGGCCAAAGAAUAGUAUUUGUAACUGUUGUGAUUCUUGGUAUAUUGAGAUGCAAAGCCUUGAGGUCGUUAACUAAGAGAGCUGUUCAAUCAAAAAUUGUUAAUGUGCAUCAAUCAUCGCUGUAGGACAAAAACGAGGUUCUUUAGCUGUUACCAGUACUCGAAACUAAAGCUUUAUCGGAAAAUCAAAUUUUGUACGGCAACUGUUAAUUUUAUUUCCCAAAGUAAUUUCAUUUGACUUUCAUUGGAAGUUGCAUAAAAAUUAAUUUUUAUUUUGA